RNAcentral lists this long non-coding RNA (255 nucleotides) under Homo sapiens (human). Its description in RNAcentral is "HSALNT0330905". The record is from RNAcentral. Lineage: Eukaryota; Metazoa; Chordata; Mammalia; Primates; Hominidae.
GCAGAAGACAGCAUACGAGAUGCUCUUGACUUUCCUCCCAAAUCUGCUCUCCAUUUAGCUCUAGUGCAGUCCUUGUUUUUUCUUUUUUCCUAAAUCAAAAUAUAGAAGUUACUAUAAUAUGAAUUACAGAAAACAUUUCAAUAUUAGCUAUCAGCAGCUACUUCAGGUUACAAAUCCAUUUGAGCUAUUUUUUUAAUUCCUGGCAAAAAGAUAACUAUACAUACAGAAACUAUAUUGCUUAAUACUGUGCCUUUA